This 1151-nucleotide ribosomal RNA is filed under the name Daphnia galeata. RNAcentral describes it as "eukaryotic LSU rRNA". It matches the Rfam family "Eukaryotic large subunit ribosomal RNA", at positions 42 to 954 of the family's 3401-position model. The record is from RNAcentral. Lineage: Eukaryota; Metazoa; Arthropoda; Branchiopoda; Diplostraca; Daphniidae.
AUCAGUAAGCGGAGGAAAAGAAACUAACAAGGAUUCCCUUAGUAGCGGCGAGCGAACAGGGAUGAGCCCAGCACCGAACCUCGCGCCCGGUUGAGCGGGUGCCGAGGAAUGUGGUGUUCGGGAGGAUCGUGCGCGCCUGUCCGGUAUAUAUCGUCCAAGUCUUCAUGAACGAGGCGAGCAAACCACAGAGGGUGUCAGUCCCGUAGCUUAGACGAGCCGAGACCGUGCAUCGGAUCCCUUCCCAAGAGUCGGGUUGCUUGAGCGUGCAGCCCUAAGCGGGAGGUAAACUCCUUCUAAGGCUAAAUAUCGCCACGAGACCGAUAGCGAACAAGUACCGCGAGGGAAAGUUGAAAAGAACUUUGAAGAGAGAGUUCAAGAGUGCGUGAAACCGUUCAGGGGGUUAAACGGGUGGGCCCUCGAAGGUCGAACGAGCCCCCGCUCCCGGCACUUGGUUGUAUGCCCUCUGCUGCGAAGAGACCGACUUGAUUUGGAGGCUCUGUUCGUUGGCGAGGACCGCAUUAGCCACGCCAAGGUCCGCAAGUGGGGGGCCUAGUAGGACUCCGCGACCGACUGGGUGUCUGUUACACGGGGCGUUCCGUUAGCGAGUUUUCUUUCUCGGUUCGCGCCGAGUUGUUUACGAGCGCGGCGUUUCUCAACAGUACUGCCCGGUCGUGACCUGUCUCCUCCCGGGAGAGCGCGUUUUUUCUGCAAAGAGAGGCGCGUUCUAACCCGUGGAGGCCCAGAGCGGAGAGUAGAAGUCGGGUCCCACCCGACCCGUCUUGAAACACGGACCAAGGAGUCUAACAUGUGCGCAAGUCGUCGAGUCUAUUACGAAACUCGCGAGGCGCAAUGAAAGUGAAGCGGCCCCGAUGAGGGUGCAUCCGCGAGGGGUGAUCCCGUCUCGAACAGAGCGGGCGCAACCCCUGGGCGUCCGAAUGCUCGCGAGGUGAUCGCCCGUUAAACGGUGGUGUGCCGAGUCGGCCGGACGAACCCAGAGCGCACACGUUGGGACCCGAAAGAUGGUGACCUAUGCCUGGCCAGGACGAAGCCAGGGGAAACCCUGGUGGAGGUCCGCAGCGAUUCUGACGUGCAAAUCGAUCGUCGGAGUUGGGUAUAGGGGCGAAAGACUAAUCGAACCAUCUAGUAGCUGG